GUUGUAUGGUUAAGUGACUAAGCGUACACGGUGGAUGCCUUGGCAGUCAGAGGCGAUGAAAGACGUAGUAACUUGCGAUAAGCCCAGAUUAGGUAGUAACAACCAUUUGAGUCUGGGAUUUCUGAAUGGGGAAACCCACGUGCAUAAGCACGUAUCCUUACCUGAAUACAUAGGGUAAGGAGGCGAACCGGGGGAACUGAAACAUCUAAGUACCCCGAGGAAAAGAAAUCAACCGAGAUUCCGAAAGUAGCGGCGAGCGAAAUUGGACUAGCCCUUAAGCUUUACACGCGUUAGACGAACGGUCUGGAAAGUCCGACGAUACAGGGUGAUAGUCCCGUAGUUGACGACGUGUGUUCAGUGAAAUCGAGUAGGGCGGGACACGUGAUAUCCUGUCUGAAUAUGGGGGGACCAUCCUCCAAGGCUAAAUACUACUGACUGACCGAUAGUGAACCAGUACCGUGAGGGAAAGGCGAAAAGAACCCCUGUGAGGGGAGUGAAAUAGAACCUGAAACCGUGUACGUACAAGCAGUAGGAGCAGGCUUUGUCCUGUGACUGCGUACCUUUUGUAUAAUGGGUCAGCGACUUAUAUUCAGUGGCAAGGUUAACCAUCUAGGGGAGCCGUAGGGAAACCGAGUCUUAACUGGGCGUUCAGUCUCUGGAUAUAGACCCGAAACCAGGUGAUCUAGCCAUGGGCAGGUUGAAGGUUGAGUAACAUCAACUGGAGGACCGAACCGACUAAUGUUGAAAAAUUAGCGGAUGACUUGUGGCUAGGGGUGAAAGGCCAAUCAAACCUGGAGAUAGCUGGUUCUCCCCGAAAGCUAUUUAGGUAGCGCCUCGGACGAAUACUACUGGGGGUAGAGCACUGUUAAGGCUAGGGGGUCAUCCCGACUUACCAACCCUUUGCAAACUCCGAAUACCAGUAAGUACUAUCCGGGAGACACACGGCGGGUGCUAACGUCCGUCGUGGAGAGGGAAACAACCCAGACCGCCAGCUAAGGUCCCAAAUUACUACUAAGUGGGAAACGAUGUGGGAAGGCUCAGACAGCCAGGAUGUUGGCUUAGAAGCAGCCAUCAUUUAAAGAAAGCGUAAUAGCUCACUGGUCGAGUCGGCCUGCGCGGAAGAUGUAACGGGGCUAAGUAGUAAACCGAAGCUGCGGCAAUACUCUUUGAGUAUUGGGUAGGGGAGCGUUCUGUAAGCGGUUGAAGGUGUGUGGUAACGCAUGCUGGACGUAUCAGAAGUGCGAAUGCUGACAUGAGUAACGAUAAAGGGGGUGAAAAACCUCCUCGCCGGAAGACCAAGGGUUCCUGUCCAACGUUAAUCGGGGCAGGGUAAGUCGACCCCUAAGGCGAGGCCGAAAGGCGUAGUCGAUGGGAAACGGGUUAAUAUUCCCGUACUUCUUACAAUUGCGAUGGGGGGACGGAGAAGGCUAGGUGGGCCUGGCGACGGUUGUCCAGGUUCAAGUGCGUAGGCUUGAGAGUUAGGUAAAUCCGGCUCUUUUUAAGGCUGAGACACGACGUCGAGCACCUACGGGUGUGAAGUCAUUGAUGCCAUGCUUCCAGGAAAAGCCUCUAAGCUUCAGAUUGUAAGGAAUCGUACCCCAAACCGACACAGGUGGUCGGGUAGAGAAUACCAAGGCGCUUGAGAGAACUCGGGUGAAGGAACUAGGCAAAAUGGUACCGUAACUUCGGGAGAAGGUACGCUCUUGAUGGUGAAGUCCCUUGCGGAUGGAGCUGACGAGAGUCGCAGAUACCAGGUGGCUGCAACUGUUUAUUAAAAACACAGCACUGUGCAAAAUCGUAAGAUGACGUAUACGGUGUGACGCCUGCCCGGUGCCGGAAGGUUAAUUGAUGGGGUUAGACUUCGGUCGAAGCUCUUGAUCGAAGCCCCGGUAAACGGCGGCCGUAACUAUAACGGUCCUAAGGUAGCGAAAUUCCUUGUCGGGUAAGUUCCGACCUGCACGAAUGGCGUAAUGAUGGCCACGCUGUCUCCACCCGAGACUCAGUGAAAUUGAAAUCGCUGUGAAGAUGCAGUGUACCCGCGGCUAGACGGAAAGACCCCGUGAACCUUUACUACAGCUUGGCACUGAACAUUGACCCUACAUGUGUAGGAUAGGUGGGAGGCUUUGAAGCACGUACGCCAGUAUGUGUGGAGCCGUCCUUGAAAUACCACCCUUGUAGUGUUGAUGUUCUAACGUCGACCCCUAAUCGGGGUUGCGGACAGUGCCUGGUGGGUAGUUUGACUGGGGCGGUCUCCUCCCAAAGAGUAACGGAGGAGCACGAAGGUGGGCUAAUCACGGUUGGACAUCGUGAGGUUAGUGCAAUGGCAUAAGCCCGCUUGACUGCGAGAAUGACAAUUCGAGCAGGUGCGAAAGCAGGUCAUAGUGAUCCGGUGGUUCUGAAUGGAAGGGCCAUCGCUCAACGGAUAAAAGGUACUCCGGGGAUAACAGGCUGAUACCGCCCAAGAGUUCAUAUCGACGGCGGUGUUUGGCACCUCGAUGUCGGCUCAUCACAUCCUGGGGCUGAAGUCGGUCCCAAGGGUAUGGCUGUUCGCCAUUUAAAGUGGUACGCGAGCUGGGUUUAGAACGUCGUGAGACAGUUCGGUCCCUAUCUGCCGUGGGCGUUGGAAGAUUGAAGGGGGCUGCUCCUAGUACGAGAGGACCGGAGUGGACGAACCUCUGGUGUUCGGGUUGUGUCGCCAGACGCAUUGCCCGGUAGCUAAGUUCGGAAUCGAUAACCGCUGAAAGCAUCUAAGCGGGAAGCGAGCCCUGAGAUGAGUCUUCCCUGAUACUUUAAGUAUCCUAAAGGGUUGUCGGAGACUACGACGUUGAUAGGUCAGGUGUGUAAGUGCUGUGAGGCAUUGAGCUAACUGAUACUAAUUGCCCGUGAGGCUUAACCAUACAACACCCAAGGGGUUU
Molecule: ribosomal RNA, 2915 nt
Filed under: Vibrio parahaemolyticus
Lineage: Bacteria; Pseudomonadati; Pseudomonadota; Gammaproteobacteria; Vibrionales; Vibrionaceae
Description: 23S ribosomal RNA
Rfam family: Bacterial large subunit ribosomal RNA
Source: RNAcentral